RNAcentral lists this long non-coding RNA (208 nucleotides) under Elaeis guineensis (African oil palm). RNAcentral's name for it is "long non-coding RNA (EGUI_LNC032705)". Lineage: Eukaryota; Viridiplantae; Streptophyta; Magnoliopsida; Arecales; Arecaceae. The record is from RNAcentral.
UGACACAAAAGUAUAGUGAGUUGCUUGCAAGUCACUAUAGUGAUCUCAGGUCUGAAGGAUACUUUUACCCAUGUGUUUCAUAAGCAGCUCUUGGCAGCAGAAUAUUCAGCAGGUGAGUCAUUUAUUUAGUGACGAUGUACUCCUACAUCUCACCUGUAUGCCAUACCAGUGUCACCACACUCCUUGGUUAAGAGGACAACCAACCCAU